Molecule: transfer RNA, 73 nt
Filed under: bacterium
Lineage: Bacteria
Also listed under: 3 other names
Description: tRNA-Gly
Rfam family: tRNA
About the family: Transfer RNA (tRNA) molecules are approximately 80 nucleotides in length. Their secondary structure includes four short double-helical elements and three loops (D, anti-codon, and T loops). Further hydrogen bonds mediate the characteristic L-shaped molecular structure. tRNAs have two regions of fundamental functional importance: the anti-codon, which is responsible for specific mRNA codon recognition, and the 3' end, to which the tRNAs corresponding amino acid is attached (by aminoacyl-tRNA synthetases). tRNAs cope with the degeneracy of the genetic code in two manners: having more than one tRNA (with a specific anti-codon) for a particular amino acid; and 'wobble' base-pairing, i.e. permitting non-standard base-pairing at the 3rd anti-codon position.
Source: RNAcentral
GCGAGCGUAACUCAAUUGGUAGAGUGUCAGCCUUCCAAGCUGAAUGUUGCCGGUUCGAUCCCGGUCGCUCGCU